AAGGGAGUGAAAAACUCCCUCGCCGGAAGACCAAGGGUUCCUGUCCAACGUUAAUCGGGGCAGGGUAAGUCGACUCCUAAGGCGAGGCCGAAAGGCGUAGUCGAUGGGAAACGGGUUAAUAUUCCCGUACUUCUUACAAUUGCGAUGGGGGGACGGAGAAGGCUAGGUGGGCCUGGCGACGGUUGUCCAGGUUCAAGUAUGUAGGCGGAAAGUUUAGGUAAAUCCGGACUUUCUUUAA
This 238-nucleotide ribosomal RNA is filed under the name Vibrio splendidus. RNAcentral's name for it is "partial 23S ribosomal RNA". It matches the Rfam family "Bacterial large subunit ribosomal RNA", at positions 1315 to 1554 of the family's 2925-position model. The record is from RNAcentral. Lineage: Bacteria; Pseudomonadati; Pseudomonadota; Gammaproteobacteria; Vibrionales; Vibrionaceae.